UGCAUAUCAAAAAGCGGAGGAAAAGAAACCAACCGGGAUUGCCUUAGUAACGGCGAGUGAAGCGGCAAAAGCUCAAAUUUGAAAUCUGGUACCUUCGGUGCCCGAGUUGUAAUUUGGAGAGGGCAACUUUGGGGCCGUUCCUUGUCUAUGUUCCUUGGAACAGGACGUCAUAGAGGGUGAGAAUCCCGUGUGGCGAGGAGUGCGGUUCUUUGUAAAGUGCCUUCGAAGAGUCGAGUUGUUUGGGAAUGCAGCUCUAAGUGGGUGGUAAAUUCCAUCUAAAGCUAAAUAUUGGCGAGAGACCGAUAGCGAACAAGUACAGUGAUGGAAAGAUGAAAAGAACUUUGAAAAGAGAGUGAAAAAGUACGUGAAAUUGUUGAAAGGGAAGGGCAUUUGAUCAGACAUGGUGUUUUGUGCCCUCUGCUCCUUGUGGGUAGGGGAAUCUCGCAUUUCACUGGGCCAGCAUCAGUUUUGGUGGCAGGAUAAAUCCAUAGGAAUGUAGCUUGCCUCGGUAAGUAUUAUAGCCUGUGGGAAUACUGCCAGCUGGGACUGAGGACUGCGACGUAAGUCAAGGAUGCUGGCAUAAUGGUUAUAUGCCGCCCGUCUUGAA
This 607-nucleotide ribosomal RNA is filed under the name Saccharomyces cerevisiae (brewer's yeast). Its description in RNAcentral is "partial large subunit ribosomal RNA". It matches the Rfam family "Eukaryotic large subunit ribosomal RNA", at positions 37 to 658 of the family's 3401-position model. Lineage: Eukaryota; Fungi; Ascomycota; Saccharomycetes; Saccharomycetales; Saccharomycetaceae. The record is from RNAcentral.